RNAcentral lists this ribosomal RNA (497 nucleotides) under uncultured bacterium. RNAcentral describes it as "partial 16S ribosomal RNA". It matches the Rfam family "Bacterial small subunit ribosomal RNA", at positions 28 to 507 of the family's 1533-position model. The record is from RNAcentral.
GAUGAACGCUGGCGGCGUGCCUAAUACAUGCAAGUCGAGCGAACAGACGAGGAGCUUGCUCCUCUGACGUUAGCGGCGGACGGGUGAGUAACACGUGGAUAACCUACCUAUAAGACUGGGAUAACUUCGGGAAACCGGAGCUAAUACCGGAUAAUAUAUUGAACCGCAUGGUUCAAUAGUGAAAGACGGUUUUGCUGUCACUUAUAGAUGGAUCCGCGCCGCAUUAGCUAGUUGGUGAGGUAACGGCUUACCAAGGCAACGAUGCGUAGCCGACCUGAGAGGGUGAUCGGCCACACUGGAACUGAGACACGGUCCAGACUCCUACGGGAGGCGGCAGUAGGGAAUCUUCCGCAAUGGGCGAAAGCUUGACGGAGCAACGCCGCGUGAGUGAUGAAGGUCUUCGGAUCGUAAAACUCUGUUAUUAGGGAAGAACAAAUGUGUAAGUAACUAUGCACGUCUUGACGGUACCUAAUCAGAAAGCCACGGCUAACUACGUG